Molecule: ribosomal RNA, 536 nt
Filed under: uncultured bacterium
Lineage: Bacteria
Description: partial 16S ribosomal RNA
Rfam family: Bacterial small subunit ribosomal RNA
Source: RNAcentral
UGGGGAAUUUUGGACAAUGGGGGAAACCCUGAUCCAGCCAUCCCGCGUGUGCGAUGAAGGCCUUCGGGUUGUAAAGCACUUUUGGCAGGAAAGAAACGUCGCGGGUUAAUACCCCGCGAAACUGACGGUACCUGCAGAAUAAGCACCGGCUAACUACGUGCCAGCAGCCGCGGUAAUACGUAGGGUGCAAGCGUUAAUCGGAAUUACUGGGCGUAAAGCGUGCGCAGGCGGUUCGGAAAGAAAGAUGUGAAAUCCCAGAGCUUAACUUUGGAACUGCAUUUUUAACUACCGGGCUAGAGUGUGUCAGAGGGAGGUGGAAUUCCGCGUGUAGCAGUGAAAUGCGUAGAUAUGCGGAGGAACACCGAUGGCGAAGGCAGCCUCCUGGGAUAACACUGACGCUCAUGCACGAAAGCGUGGGGAGCAAACAGGAUUAGAUACCCUGGUAGUCCACGCCCUAAAACGAUGUCAACUAGCUGUUGGGGCCUUCGGGCCUUGGUAGCGCAGCUAACGCGUGAAGUUGACCGCCUGGGGAGUAC